RNAcentral lists this ribosomal RNA (425 nucleotides) under uncultured bacterium. Its description in RNAcentral is "partial 16S ribosomal RNA". It matches the Rfam family "Bacterial small subunit ribosomal RNA", at positions 354 to 796 of the family's 1533-position model. The record is from RNAcentral.
GUGGGGAAUCUUGCGCAAUGGGCGAAAGCCUGACGCAGCCAUGCCGCGUGAAUGAUGAAGGUCUUAGGAUUGUAAAAUUCUUUCACCGGGGACGAUAAUGACGGUACCCGGAGAAGAAGCUCCGGCUAACUUCGUGUCAGCAGCCGCGGUAAUACGAAGGGGGCUAGCGUUGCUCGGAAUUACUGGGCGUAAAGGGCGCGUAGGCGGACAGCUUAGUCAGAGGUGAAAGCCCAGGGCUCAACCUUGGAAUUGCCUUUGAUACUGGCUGUCUUGAGUUUGGGAGAGGUGAGUGGAACUCCGAGUGUAGAGGUGAAAUUCGUAGAUAUUCGGAAGAACACCAGUGGCGAAGGCGACUCACUGGCCCAAUACUGACGCUGAGGCGCGAAAGCGUGGGGAGCAAACAGGAUUAGAUACCCGUGUAGUCC